AGCAGCCGCGGUAAUUCCAGCUCCAAUAGCGUAUAUUAAAGUUGUUGCAGUUAAAAAGCUCGUAGUUGAAUUUCGGGGUCAGUAGUUUGGUCGUGCCAAUGGUAUGUACUGGGCUCACUGAUUCCUCCUUCCUGAUGAACUGUAAUGCCAUUAAUUUGGUGUUGCAGGGAAACUGGACUGUUACUUUGAAAAAAUUAGAGUGUUUAAAGCAAGCUAACGCUUGAAUACAUUAACAUGGAAUAAUGAAAUAGGACGUUCGAUCCUAUUUCGUUGGUUUCUAGGAUUGACGUAAUGAUUAAUAGGGAUAGUUGGGGGCAUUAGUAUUCAAUUGUCAGAGGUGAAAUUCUUGGAUUUAUUGAAGACUAACUACUGCGAAAGCAUUUGCCAAGGAUGUUUUCAUUAAUCAAGAACGAAAGUUAGGGGAUCGAAGACGAUCAGAUACCGUCGUAGUCUUAACCAUAAACUAUGCCGACUAGGGAUCGGAUGAUAUUAAUUUUUAAUGACUCAUUCGGCGCCUUAC
This 520-nucleotide ribosomal RNA is filed under the name uncultured Glomus. RNAcentral's name for it is "SSU rRNA". It matches the Rfam family "Eukaryotic small subunit ribosomal RNA", at positions 569 to 1091 of the family's 1831-position model. Lineage: Eukaryota; Fungi; Glomeromycota; Glomeromycetes; Glomerales; Glomeraceae. The record is from RNAcentral.